AUGAACGCUGGCGGCGUGCCUAAUACAUGCAAGUCGAGCGAACAGACGAGGAGCUUGCUCCUCUGACGUUAGCGGCGGACGGGUGAGUACACGUGGAUAACCUACCUAUAAGACUGGGAUAACUUCGGGAAACCGGAGCUAAUACCGGAUAAUAUAUUGAACCGCAUGGUUCAAUAGUGAAAGACGGUUUUGCUGUCACUUAUAGAUGGAUCCGCGCCGCAUUAGCUAGUUGGUAAGGUAACGGCUUACCAAGGCAACGAUGCGUAGCCGACCUGAGAGGGUGAUCGGCCACACUGGAACUGAGACACGGUCCAGACUCUUACGGGAGGCAGCAGUAGGGAAUCUUCCGCAAAGGGCGAAAGCCUGACGGAGCAACGCCGCGUGAGUGAUGAAGGUCUUCGGAUCGUAAAACUCUGUUAUUAGGGAAGAACAAAUGUGUAAGUAACUAUGCACGUCUUGACGGUACCUAAUCAGAAAGCCACGGCUAACUACGUG
This 495-nucleotide ribosomal RNA is filed under the name uncultured bacterium. RNAcentral describes it as "partial 16S ribosomal RNA". It matches the Rfam family "Bacterial small subunit ribosomal RNA", at positions 29 to 507 of the family's 1533-position model. The record is from RNAcentral.